RNAcentral lists this ribosomal RNA (253 nucleotides) under uncultured bacterium. RNAcentral describes it as "partial 16S ribosomal RNA". It matches the Rfam family "Bacterial small subunit ribosomal RNA", at positions 524 to 776 of the family's 1533-position model. The record is from RNAcentral.
UACGUAGGGUGCAAGCGUUGUCCGGAAUUAUUGGGCGUAAAGAGCUCGUAGGCGGUCUGUCACGUCUGCUGUGAAAACUCGGGGCUUAACCCCGGGCCUGCAGUGGGUACGGGCAGACUAGAGUGCGGUAGGGGAGACUGGAAUUCCUGGUGUAGCGGUGAAAUGCGCAGAUAUCAGGAGGAACACCGGUGGCGAAGGCGGGUCUCUGGGCAGUAACUGACGCUGAGGAGCGAAAGCGUGGGGAGCGAACAGG